This 501-nucleotide ribosomal RNA is filed under the name uncultured bacterium. Its description in RNAcentral is "partial 16S ribosomal RNA". It matches the Rfam family "Bacterial small subunit ribosomal RNA", at positions 30 to 523 of the family's 1533-position model. The record is from RNAcentral.
AUUGAACGCUGGCGGCAUGCCUUACACAUGCAAGUCGAACGGCAGCACGGGUGCUUGCACCUGGUGGCGAGUGGCGAACGGGUGAGUAAUAUAUCGGAACGUACCUUAUUGUGGGGGAUAACGCAGCGAAAGCUGUGCUAAUACCGCAUAAUCCCUAAGGGGGAAAGCGGGGGACCGUAAGGCCUCGCGCAAUUAGAGCGGCCGAUACCUGAUUAGCUAGUUGGUGAGGUAAAGGCUCACCAAGGCAACGAUCAGUAGCUGGUCUGAGAGGACGAUCAGCCACACUGGGACCGAGACACGGCCCAGACUCCUACGGGAGGCAGCAGUGGGGAAUUUUGGACAAUGGGGGCAACCCUGAUCCAGCAAUGCCGCGUGAGUGAAGAAGGCCUUCGGGUUGUAAAGCUCUUUUGUCAGGGAAGAAACAGCAGCUCUAACACAGUAUGCGAAUGACGGUACCUGAAGAAUAAGCACCGGCUAACUACGUGCCAGCCGCCGCAGUAC